UGCGUAGGCGGCCCGGAAAGUUGGGUGUGAAAGCCCUCGGCUCAACCGAGGAAUUGCGCCCAAAACUACCGGGCUCGAGGGAGAUAGAGGUGAGCGGAACUUAGGGUGGAGCGGUGAAAUGCGUUGAUAUCCUAAGGAACACCAGUAGCGAAAGCGGCUCACUGGGUCUUUUCUGACGCUGAGGCACGAAAGCUAGGGGAGCGAAGAGGAUUAGAUACCCUCGUAGUCCUAGCCUUAAACGAUGAGCACUGGUUUGGAGGGUCCUCCAUAGCCCUCCAGACGUAGCGAAAGUGUUAAGUGCUCCGCCUGGGGAGUAUGGUCGCAAGGCUGAA
Molecule: ribosomal RNA, 332 nt
Filed under: uncultured bacterium
Lineage: Bacteria
Description: bacterial SSU rRNA
Rfam family: Bacterial small subunit ribosomal RNA
Source: RNAcentral